UGACGUCGCACGCUGGCGGAGCCAAACUGUCAUGGCCGCAAUACGCGAGGCCCCGGGUGGACCAUGUUUAGGAGCACUAAGAUUACUGUUGCGAGGUGUUCAGCGUAGUAAUUGCGGAGAGUGUGCGGGCAUUGUGGGGUGUUUGUGUCUCGGCACUGGGCGGUCCUCUGCGUGUUUGGGUGGCGUGCCGCGGUGAAUUCUAUACGGCUCCUGUUGGCGGGAAGCCUCCCUUUUUUUUCUUUCUGUGUACCUGGUCUGUUCAGUGUUGGUGGCCCUUGGUGAAAGGACUCGCUCUCUGAAGUCUUCGUCUUGUCGGAAGCGAUACUGACUGAUAAUGGUCCUAAGGUCCAAGCAACGAGGCCAUGCGACCCAGUGGACAAUGAACGUACAGGACUGGUCGAGGAUGUAUGUGAUUGACCCUUUGCAAAAAUGGAUAAUAAAUUCAAUGUAAAGUAUAUUAAAGUCUCAUGCCAUAUUCAGUCAACGAACCUGUGUGUCUAUAGUGGAUGGGGGAAAAACACUGUGUCCUGGUAUUACCAGGUGGCGUUGUUGGCAACUUUACCAUCUUGAAGUCCACUUACGAGUAUGCCGCUCUGCCACAGGUCAUUGCCCAGAGCUCAUGACCAUAGGUGAGGGGAGGAACAAAGACUGACUGUAAAUCGACUGCUAAUAUUAUUUUUAUUGUAUCACAUGUCGUUCAUUGUAAACCACAAUAUUCCAAUCCAACUUUAUUUCUACUGCACUUUAAAGCAGACCUAUUGUGUUAUAGUUGUUUUGCUUUACCAGUGACCCUCUCACAGUUGUAUUUGAAGUGAUUCUUGCAUGUUUGAGUCAUUUCUAAUCACUUAUU
Boleophthalmus pectinirostris (great blue-spotted mudskipper) is the source of this 850-nucleotide long non-coding RNA. RefSeq lists it as uncharacterized. The record is from RefSeq and is a predicted model, not a curated record. Lineage: Eukaryota; Metazoa; Chordata; Actinopteri; Gobiiformes; Gobiidae. The transcript has 3 exons.